AUUGAACGCUGGCGGAAUGCUUUACACAUGCAAGUCGAACGGCAGCACGGGGGCAACACUGGUGGCGAGUGGCGAACGGGUGAGUAAUACAUCGGAACGUGCCCAGUAGUGGGGGAUAACGUAGCGAAAGUUACGCUAAUACCGCAUACGAUCUACGGAUGAAAGCGGGGGAACGUAAGGCCUCGCGCCAUGGGAGCGGCCGAUGUCAGAUUAGGUAGUUGGUGAGGUAAAGGCUCACCAAGCCGACGAUCUGUAGCUGGUCUGAGAGGACGACCAGCCACACUGGGACUGAGACACGGCCCAGACUCCUACGGGAGGCAGCAGUGGGGAAUUUUGGACAAUGGGCGCAAGCCUGAUCCAGCCAUUCCGCGUGCAGGACGAAGGCCUUCGGGUUGUAAACUGCUUUUGUACGGAACGAAAAGGCUCUGGUUAAUACCUGGGGCUCAUGACGGUACCGUAAGAAUAUGCACCGGCUAACUACGUGCCAGCCGCCGCCGUAA
This 500-nucleotide ribosomal RNA is filed under the name uncultured bacterium. RNAcentral describes it as "partial 16S ribosomal RNA". It matches the Rfam family "Bacterial small subunit ribosomal RNA", at positions 30 to 523 of the family's 1533-position model. The record is from RNAcentral.